AGUCCCUUUUUGUUUCCGGCCACUGUGUCUUUAUGGCCAGUGUUGCAUUUGGAAACGGGGACUUUUUUUAUCUGCUAGGCGCCCAGCCCUUCCAGUUCUGCUGGCGGGGCUGGUCUUGUUGCCUAGCACUUUUACUUUGAAAAAAUUAGAGUGUUCAAAGCAGGCUUUUACAAGCUUGAAUAUCUUAGCAUGGAAUAAUAGAAUAGGACUUUGGUUCUAUUUUGUUGGUUUCUAGGACUAGAGUA
Molecule: ribosomal RNA, 245 nt
Filed under: uncultured fungus
Lineage: Eukaryota; Fungi
Description: partial small subunit ribosomal RNA
Rfam family: Eukaryotic small subunit ribosomal RNA (bases 114-245)
Source: RNAcentral